Molecule: long non-coding RNA, 415 nt
Filed under: Numida meleagris (helmeted guineafowl)
Lineage: Eukaryota; Metazoa; Chordata; Aves; Galliformes; Numididae
Description: lncRNA (ENSNMEG00000001263.1)
Source: RNAcentral
UUUUGCUUUAAAACAUCUUUGACUCCUGUUAAAUUUGCAUCAUAAGGGUCAAGCAGACAUUCAUCUUCUAUGCAUUGUGUAACUUGAUUUCCUGAUUUCUGGACUGGGCAAAGUAUUUCUGGAUGGUAAUGAUUUGCCUAAUCUCUAUAAAAGACAACAGAAGUACACUUCUAUGCUGCACACUAGCGUGCUGGUGCUUGCACAUCACUAAGAGAGGGAAGCAGACAAACUUCCAGCUGGAGAAGCCCCAGAUGUGCACAGGUGUCAUAAUCAGCAGCUACGCUGGGAUCCAUCUGAGGGAUGGUCUUGGCUCAGACUGUCACUGUGGCAGACCUGCCUGUUUUGGAAGAGACUCCACUGUGGUGGAAAGACCGCCAGCUAGAACUGCCGUUAUGAGAUGUAUCUUCAAGCAAAG